This 253-nucleotide ribosomal RNA is filed under the name uncultured bacterium. RNAcentral's name for it is "partial 16S ribosomal RNA". It matches the Rfam family "Bacterial small subunit ribosomal RNA", at positions 524 to 776 of the family's 1533-position model. The record is from RNAcentral.
GACGUAGGGCGCAAGCGUUGUCCGGAUUUAUUGGGCGUAAAGAGCUCGUAGGCGGCUUGUCACGUCGGUUGUGAAAGCCCGGGGCUUAACCCCGGGUCUGCAGUCGAUACGGGCUAGCUAGAGUGUGGUAGGGGAGAUCGGAAUUCCUGGUGUAGCGGUGAAAUGCGCAGAUAUCGGGAGGAACACCGGUGGCGAAGGCGGAUCUCUGGGCCAUUACUGACGCUGAGGAGCGAAAGCGUGGGGAGCGAACAGG